GCAAGGCAACAAGAUAAGACUUAUCGAGAAAGGGGUAUUUGUUGAUGCUGUAAAUCUUGAAUACCUAAACAUGUCAUUGAAUGCAAUUCAAGCAAUCGAACCAGGGUCGUUUAAUCAUUCGAAAAAUAUUAUGGAAAAUUUAGACUUGAGUGUGAACGUCAUUAACGUGCUGAAGAGAAACACCUUCAUUGGAGCUGUAUGGCUAAAGCAUCUUGAUUUGUCACAAAAUCGCAUCGAAAUCAUGGAAGCAGGAACUUUCACAGGACUGCAGUCACUGACAAUACUGUAACCUUCAUGAUUAAGAAUAUGUAUUUUUAGAAUUGAUAAAAGGGUAAAUUAUACACUGUGAAAA
This is a long non-coding RNA of Actinia tenebrosa (Australian red waratah sea anemone), 352 nucleotides long. NCBI's taxonomy places the organism in Eukaryota, Metazoa, Cnidaria, Anthozoa, Actiniaria, Actiniidae. The record is from RefSeq and is a predicted model, not a curated record.